Molecule: long non-coding RNA, 428 nt
Organism: Periophthalmus magnuspinnatus
Lineage: Eukaryota; Metazoa; Chordata; Actinopteri; Gobiiformes; Gobiidae
Exons: 3
Source: RefSeq, a predicted model, not a curated record
CCAGUUUCCAAACCAUUCCCGAAACUUUGGAGCACGAGAGACAACGGAGAAGGACAGAGGAGCAGACGAGGCAAAACGUUUGGCUCCGUCACGAAACAAGGUAUUUCCAUAUGAAUAGGAUUAGCGGAGGACCGGGGAGGUAUAGGAGUAAUACGCCUCAGCUCGCCGCGGUGCACUCCACAAACCUGCACCCCCCACUUUCAUUUCAUUUGAUUCUUAAAUCUUAUAAAGUGUGUAUCAGCGUGUAACGGCCUCCCGCGGAGCCUAAAAACCUGAUUUACUCAAAUGAAUGUGCCACGUCAGAGCUGCUGUUUAUGUAAUACGCAGUUUGUCAGAGCCGUUUGAGGUGGGCACAAAUCCCCCCGUCCCCUGGGCUCUUAACGCAACCUACAAACGGGAAUAUGGAUUUUGUGAGUGAAAUAUUAAAG